Long non-coding RNA from Anser brachyrhynchus (Pink-footed goose), 526 nucleotides. The record is from Ensembl. NCBI's taxonomy places the organism in Eukaryota, Metazoa, Chordata, Aves, Anseriformes, Anatidae.
GUUGUGUCAUAAUGAUGGUGGAAUUGAGGAGGAGGAGGAGGAGAAAGGGGAUGUCAUUUCACAAAUGAUUCAGCUACAGUCAUACUUCUCUUCCUACUUAUUUCACUGAGUAUCUGACAAUCAAGAAAGGUGCAAUUAUCUAAAGUAAAGAAACUGCUAUAUUAACAGAAAUAGUCUUUUACCACAGAGAUUAAACAUGGAAUUUCAAGGGCUCAUUCAUCAACACGUUGCUUACAUGUUACAGUUUCAGAACUCAGCAGAGCUGCCUGAAGAACUGGGGAUUCUUCCACAUCCAUUGGACACUGGAGAAACUUACGCAGGUUCUGCAUUUAUGGCCGUCAUAAAGAACUUCAGUAUGAAGAAGAAACACCCCUGCAAGUAACUUGUAAGCACCGCAGCAGUGAUCUGAAUGUAUCAGGGUAAUGCGGCCGUCAGAAAUCACUCAGAUCAAUGGUGAGAGUGCAGUCAGGCUCUUUGUGUGUACUUAGCAAAUAUAAUUAUUUUAAACCUCAGCGUGCUUCCAUGU